AUGGCGGCCGGCAGGGUUCCUCAAUUGCAACCAGCACCAUCUCCUCCACCACAACCAAUGCUUCUUACUUUUGAGGAGUUUCUGACACAGAACCCUGGCCCCUCGCCGGGAACUGGUGGAUCUACCGUUGGUGGUGGUGCUGGUCUUGGCAUCACUCCCGAGUCACGGAGCCCGGUCACUCCUAUCCACGGAGGCGGCGGCGGUCUUGGCGGUAGCGCUGCCGCUAGCAGGGAUGACCUAGGCUUCAGCGGACUUGGCGGUGAUGACCUUGGCGGUGGUGGUGGAUGUCCUAGCGCUUAA
Molecule: ribosomal RNA, 300 nt
Filed under: Triticum aestivum (bread wheat)
Lineage: Eukaryota; Viridiplantae; Streptophyta; Magnoliopsida; Poales; Poaceae
Description: partial small subunit ribosomal RNA
Source: RNAcentral